This is a long non-coding RNA of Strongylocentrotus purpuratus (purple sea urchin), 1297 nucleotides long. RefSeq lists it as uncharacterized. The record is from RefSeq and is a predicted model, not a curated record. The transcript is spliced from 2 exons. NCBI's taxonomy places the organism in Eukaryota, Metazoa, Echinodermata, Echinoidea, Camarodonta, Strongylocentrotidae.
GGGGGCGGAGUAGAGAGAGACUGGAAGAAAAACAAAAGAUCGCUACUAUAUUCACCCCUAAACUUGAUUUACUAGUAUGUGCUCGCGCUCGCGUGGCCCUAUAGCUGUCACAUUCCACCAGCCUUCAACCACCAAGUCCCCAGAGAAACAAAUUUAUCUCUUAUCUUGCUGACAUAAGUAUAUCAGUCAACGACUGGAUUCUAAUCUCAAUUUCUUGCUGAGAGACUUGAUGCAUGGACGUACUACAAACCAUGCUUGAUGACAGAGAAAGUGCAUUUUACGCAAUGUAAGAGUACACAGGCAGGGAGGAAGUUUCCAUUGAUUUAGGUUUCCACCCUAGGACCAGGGACUUGGAACUUGAAGACUGCUAGGACCUACUUCUUGGUAACUUUUAUGUACUUUAAUAUACCAUGUAGGGACUUCCAUGCUAAAAAUAGCUAUGCUAAGCUGAAAGCAUGUUUUUUUUAAUCACCGUAUUUAAAUAAAUAAACAAACAAAACUGGCUCACUGCUAUGCAAUAUCAAGAGCACGUUCGAAGCUCCCGGUAAUUCAGAUUGUAUUGCACAGAGAUGGUUCUCCAGCCACGUAAUGAUCUAAUUAGAAGAUAAAAAGGCAUUCUCCUCGUGGCCAUCUUUUUCCCUUUAUUAUUUCAUAUAUCAUGUCUUCCUCUUUCCAACAUUUACUACCUAGUCUCACGGAUCAAUCUACGAUACAGGUUGGUAGAAAGUGAUGAGGCACUUUAUACACAAAAUGAUGUGCCUGAUGUUGGCAAGUGCAUAAACGCCUGGUGAUAACCGUGAUAUUGGUAUUCAUUUUCUUCAAUCAAUUUUUUUAUUUUCCGUCGACUUACUUUUUGUCGUAAAAGCCUGUAACAUCAGUGAUAUAUAAUUGAUUUCGCUUCUCUCUUCUCUGCGAUCUAUUUUGUCAAGCGCCUGGUGAUAUUGGCAUUCAUUUUCUUCAAUCAUUGUUUUCGUUCCGUCGACUUACUUUUUGUCGUAAAAGCCUGUAACAUCAGCGAUGUAUAAUUGAUUUAGCUUCUCCCUCCCCUUCGAGCUAUCUCUCUUGUAUUUUGUCAAUGUCCUGGUGAUAUUGGAAUUAUUUUUUUCAUUCAUUUCUUUCGUUCCGUCGACUUACUUUUUGUCAUAAAAGCCAGUAACAUCAGCGAUAUUUAGUAUAAUUGAAUUCACUUCUCUCUUCCCUGCGAUCUAUCUCUCUUUUAUUUUGCCAAGCGCCUGGUGAUAUUGGAAUUCAUUUUCUUCAUUCAUUUCUUUCAUUCCGUAGGCUUACUCUUUGUCAU